This 497-nucleotide ribosomal RNA is filed under the name uncultured bacterium. RNAcentral's name for it is "partial 16S ribosomal RNA". It matches the Rfam family "Bacterial small subunit ribosomal RNA", at positions 28 to 507 of the family's 1533-position model. The record is from RNAcentral.
GAUGAACGCUGGCGGCGUGCCUAAUACAUGCAAGUCGAGCGAACAGACGAGGAGCUUGCUCCUCUGACGUUAGCGGCGGACGGGUGAGUAACACGUGGAUAACCUACCUAUAAGACUGGGAUAACUUCGGGAAACCGGAGCUAAUACCGGAUAAUAUAUUGAACCGCAUGGUUCAAUAGUGAAAGACGGUUUUGCUGUCACUUAUAGAUGGAUCCGCGCCGCAUUAGCUAGUUGGUAAGGUAACGGCUUACCAAGGCAACGAUGCGUAGCCGACCUGAGAGGGUGAUCGCCCACACUGGAACUGAGACACGGUCCAGACUCCUACGGGAGGCAGCAGUAGGGAAUCUUCCGCAAUGGGCGAAAGCCUGACGGAGCAACGCCGCGUGAGUGAUGAAGGUCUUCGGAUCGUAAAACUCUGUUAUUAGGGAAGAACAAAUGUGUAAGUAACUAUGCACGUCUUGACGGUACCUAAUCAGAAAGCCACGGCUAACCACGUG